This is a non-coding RNA of Misgurnus anguillicaudatus (oriental weatherfish), 810 nucleotides long. The record is from RefSeq and is a predicted model, not a curated record. NCBI's taxonomy places the organism in Eukaryota, Metazoa, Chordata, Actinopteri, Cypriniformes, Cobitidae.
GAUACUGGUUUGAGAAAAACUAAGAUUUAAACAACCAAAUGUUUCCAGUGCAACAUGAAAAAACAUUGGAAAACAAUUUUCAGCCUAAGGUUAGAUAAUGUAGCCAAUGGUCCUCUAUAAAUUUUGGUACAAUGGUACAUUUCCUUUGUGUACUGCAAGCUGAACUUACCGAUUUAUAUGGACUUUACUUACAGGUUUUCUGUGCUAUGUUGCUCCAUUUCACGGAGCAAAAUAAGUCUGAGGUAGCACCAUCCUUGUGGUUUGAGUGGAACAAUGGGGGUAUUGAGACCAAAAUGAACAAUGUGCCACUCUAGACAGCUGUGGACAAAAUAUGCAGUCAGAGUAUUUUCUCAAACAGAAAGAGAAUUCCAGGGCAAAAGGACUCAACAGAGAUAACAUUGUCAGUACACAAAAUAGAAAUUUGGAAUGAUUAAGAAAAAUGCAUGUUUCUAUACAUAUUUUCUUUAAAUCCAAUUUUUUUCACCGGUCAGCAGGACAGUAAAUUAUCUGAAGGUGAAAUCAUUAUUAAAGGUGAUAUCAUUGUCAUUGCAUUCAUUGUUACAUAUGAUUUUAAACAGUGGGAAUCAUUGUGUAUUUUAAAUCAUUAUGUGAAUUAAUCAUUAUUGACAGCAAUUGCACAAGUGUAAGUAAAAACUUUAAAAAAGAUCCAACUGUUGAAUAUUUGAUUGUUAAAUGCUAAACGUUAAACUAAAGUGUACAUGGUCCAUGUUAAUGUUUUUAGUAUUAUUUUUUUCAUCUGAGGAGCCAGGUAAAACUAAAAGGUCACAAUAUGAUUUACUAUCAUAUUAU